GACGAACGCUGGCGGCGUGCUUAACACAUGCAAGUCGAACGGUGAAGCUCCAGCUUGCUGGAGUGGAUCAGUGGCGAACGGGUGAGUAACACGUGAGCAACCUGCCCCUGACUCUGGAAUAAGCGCUGGAAACGGCGUCUAAUACUGGAUACGAGAAGGGUCCGCAUGGGCACUUUCUGGAAAGUUUUUCGGUUGGGGAUGGGCUCGCGGCCUAUCAGCUUGUUGGUGAGGUAAUGGCUCACCAAGGCGACGACGGGUAGCCGGCCUGAGAGGGCGACCGGCCACACUGGGAAUGAGACACGGCCCAGACUCCUACGGGAGGGAGGAGGGGGGAAUUUUGCAAAAGGGGCGAAAGCCUGAUGCAGCGACGCCGGGUGGGGGAUGACGGCCUUCGGGUUGUAAACCUCUUUCAGGAGGGAAGUAGCGAAAGGGGCGGGACCUGCAGAAGAAGCCCCGGCUAACUACGG
RNAcentral lists this ribosomal RNA (467 nucleotides) under uncultured bacterium. Its description in RNAcentral is "partial 16S ribosomal RNA". It matches the Rfam family "Bacterial small subunit ribosomal RNA", at positions 28 to 506 of the family's 1533-position model. The record is from RNAcentral.